Molecule: transfer RNA, 71 nt
Filed under: Marmota monax (woodchuck)
Lineage: Eukaryota; Metazoa; Chordata; Mammalia; Rodentia; Sciuridae
Description: tRNA.Ser
Source: RNAcentral
GAGGUUGUGGCUCAGUGGUAGAGUGCUCACCUAGAACAUGUGAGGUGCUUCGUUCAAACCUCAGUACCACA